GAUGAACGCUGGCGGCGUGCCUAACACAUGCAAGUCGAACGGAGAUUACGGACGGAAGUUUUCUGAUGGAAGACUGUAAUUCUUAGUGGCGGACGGGUGAGUAACGCGUGGGCAACCUGCCCUAUACAGGGGGAUAGCAGCUGGAAACGGCUGAUAAGACCGCAUAAGUCGGUUAAAUCGCAUGAUUUGAUCGGGAAAUGAGCAAUCAGGUAUAGGAUGGGCCCGCGUCCGAUUAGCCAGUUGGCAGGGUAAAAGCCUACCAAAGCGACGAUCGGUAGACGGACUGAGAGGUCGGACGGCCACACUGGGACUGAGACACGGCCCAAACUCCUACGGGAGGCAGCAGUGGGGGAUAUUGCACAAUGGAGGGAACUCUGAUGCAGCGACGCUGCGUGAGUGAAGAAGUAUUUAGGUAUGUAAAGCUCUAUCAGCAGGGAAGAUGAUGACGGUACCUGACGAAGAAGCCCCGGCUAACUACGUG
Molecule: ribosomal RNA, 481 nt
Filed under: uncultured bacterium
Lineage: Bacteria
Description: partial 16S ribosomal RNA
Rfam family: Bacterial small subunit ribosomal RNA
Source: RNAcentral